AUUGAAAGUUGAAUCAACGAUUAGCUUCAUCGAAUACAAUCUACACCAUUGAAAAUAUCUACAUGUCCAAAUUUUACAAUUUUUUGACAUUAUUUGUCCAGUAAUCCUCAAAUGUUUUCAAAAUAGAUAAAUUUAAUGAUUGUUGUGAUAUGUUUGUAAGUUUAAUAAUGUAGAAUAACCCAAAUUAUAUAAAAUUUUGAUAGAAAUAUUUUGUAUUAUAUAAAACAAAAAAAGUAUCUUAGAUUCAAAAUUUAAAUCAUGUACCAUCAUUUUUUAUUAAUUUUUUAUUUUCAUAUAUCCAUUUUGAUAUCACGUCGUUCACUAGAUAAAUAAUAUAAAAAAAUCAUAAAAUUUAUUUUCUAAAUACUCAAGGAGUAUCCUAAAUCAUGUUUAACGAAGGCAAUCAUCAAUUUGGAUGUCUGAUCAUCGAAAACAAAAAUGAGCCUCGAGCUGCAGUGAUACAGAUG
Molecule: long non-coding RNA, 467 nt
Filed under: Ananas comosus (pineapple)
Lineage: Eukaryota; Viridiplantae; Streptophyta; Magnoliopsida; Poales; Bromeliaceae
Description: long non-coding RNA (ACOM_LNC012330)
Source: RNAcentral